Molecule: small nuclear RNA, 165 nt
Filed under: Dasypus novemcinctus (nine-banded armadillo)
Lineage: Eukaryota; Metazoa; Chordata; Mammalia; Cingulata; Dasypodidae
Description: U1 spliceosomal RNA (ENSDNOG00000041177.1)
Rfam family: U1 spliceosomal RNA
About the family: U1 is a small nuclear RNA (snRNA) component of the spliceosome (involved in pre-mRNA splicing). Its 5' end forms complementary base pairs with the 5' splice junction, thus defining the 5' donor site of an intron.
Source: RNAcentral
AUACUUACCUGGCAGGGGAGAUAUUAUGACCAUGAAGGUGGUUUUCCCCUGGGUAAGACUGAUCCAUUGCUCUGGGAAUCUGCUGACCUAUGUGAUUUCCCCACAUGGGGGAAAUUCUACUGCAUAAUUUGUGUUGGUGGGGGGUUGCAUUUGUGCUUUCCUCUG